UUUGACAGGGUGCAUUACACACAGCUGUGGUGUCUCAUCAAAGCCAGCUCCUGGCUCUCCCUUCUGCAGAAACCAAUCUCUCUUAUAACAUCACUCAAUUCCCUCGUCAUAUUUCUCCUCCUUUCUACCCAAUACAGAGAAGUGUGGUGUGUUAAUUACCUAAUUAACAUAUUUUUUUAAUUAACCUGGCCUUCUCUUUAUCCUGACUAUCCACACCAUAAAGAAUGGUGUCAGGUGGAUCAAUUUACAGCAAUCUUAGCUGUUUACAAGCAUAUAGGCAGCUUAAAACAAAUGAUGCUCUAACAACUGAGCUGCUACAUGAAGGUUCUUGAUAAUAUUUUUCCAAGCAAUAUUUAGAAGAAUUAAGAGACCUCUAGUAUGACUUUAUGGGCAGCUUUAUUCUGAAGGCAUUCUAUGAACAUUUUCAAAUGUUCCAGAACAAAUACAAAGUGCUCUUUUGAGACAUGUCAUCAGGAACAGAUGUUAAUGAGCCCAGACAAUCAGUGUGCCGCAGGAUCAGACAACCAAUCUCUUGUAACUGUAGGGGAUGGGCUUGUUCAAGCAUGCACAGAUAAUGUUCUCUGUGUGGCCUUUAAAAGUGCAUCUGUGUGAUUCUGAAAGUGCUUACCAGCUCUGGGCACCAUGGAAAGUGAGAGCUGUUGUCUUGGGAGGUGCUGGGGGUGUGCAACAACUUUUGAUAUCGACUCCUUUCUUUGUUAGGAAGGAUCUGUACCUCUGAAUCCUAGCUGAGGGCAGGCUGCCUCCAGACAGGAAGAAACCGGCUUCCCAAUGUUCAUCUAGGGGUUUUUCCUGCCUUACAGCUCUUCUUGUGUGUUCUUCACUUUAAAGCAGUGUUAGGGGUUUUCAUCCAUACCAGCACAACCAAAUGUUCAUUGAAGACAGUAGGAGCCCUUCACUAGGUACUACCUGAUGCCUUUACAGUCAGCAUCCAACCCCACAGCACUCGAAAAUUAGGUUCUCUGCAAGUCUUGCAGCUUUGUUUUUUUAGUAAGAGCAUUACUGUUCCAAAACAAAGGGAAAAUAUGAUGAACGCGGAUAGUUGUAUACAUAUAAGUUAAAAAACCCUGACCAAUAAAGAAUGAAAUAAACUGCA
This 1114-nucleotide long non-coding RNA is filed under the name Cyanistes caeruleus (blue tit). RNAcentral's name for it is "lncRNA (ENSCCEG00000013393.1)". The record is from RNAcentral. Lineage: Eukaryota; Metazoa; Chordata; Aves; Passeriformes; Paridae.